UACAGAGGGUGCGAGCGUUAAUCGGAAUUACUGGGCGUAAAGCGCGCGUAGGCGGCUUGUUAAGUCAAAUGUGAAAUCCCCGAGCUUAACUUGGGCAUUGCAUUCGAUACUGGCAAGCUAGAGUAUGGGAGAGGAAGGUAGAAUUCCAGGUGUAGCGGUGAAAUGCGUAGAGAUGCGGAGGAACACCGAUGGCGAAGGCAGCCCCCUGGGCUAGCACUGACGCUCAGGCACGAAAGCGUGGGGAGCAAACAGG
Molecule: ribosomal RNA, 253 nt
Filed under: uncultured bacterium
Lineage: Bacteria
Description: partial 16S ribosomal RNA
Rfam family: Bacterial small subunit ribosomal RNA
Source: RNAcentral